RNAcentral lists this ribosomal RNA (538 nucleotides) under Newportia quadrimeropus. Its description in RNAcentral is "eukaryotic LSU rRNA". It matches the Rfam family "Eukaryotic large subunit ribosomal RNA", at positions 1562 to 1861 of the family's 3401-position model. Lineage: Eukaryota; Metazoa; Arthropoda; Chilopoda; Scolopendromorpha; Scolopocryptopidae. The record is from RNAcentral.
CUCGUUUUAACGUCUCGCAAUAACANCCCGCGCAGAAAACGCCGCCGCCGCAGCGNGUCGCUUGGCCUUUUCCCGUCCGGCACGAAAACUUGAACGAACGAACGAACAAACGAUCGGCGCGGCGUAGGCACCGCACCAACGACGAGCAAGCACGGUUGGAUCGAGACUUGCUGUGCCGCGUUGUGAAGAAGGGUCGGAAGAAAGAAAGAAAGAAAGAUUGAAAGAACAAAAAAAAACAUAUCCCCCGGAUGACCGAAAGGGAAUCGGGUUAAUAUUCCCGAACCCGGAUGCGGAGAUCGGCCUCUCGGGGCCCAUUGCGGUAACGCAAACGAACUCGGAGAAGUCGGCGGGAGUCCCGGGAAGAGUUGUCUUUUCUUUGUAAGGGACGGACUCCCUGGAAUCGGCUCGCCCGGAGAGAGGGAUGUUGUUCCCGUAAAGCACCGCGGCUCUUGCGGUGUCCGGAGCACUCCCGCCGGCCCUUGAAAAUCCGAGGGAGAGAAAAUGAUUUUCGCACCGGACCGUACCCAUAUCCGCAGCA